UACGGGGGGGCAAGCGUUGUUCGGAAUUACUGGGGGUAAAGGGCUCGUAGGCGGCCAACUAAGUCAUACGUGAAAUCCCUCGGCUUAACCGGGGAACUGCGUCUGAUACUGGAUGGCUUGAGUUCGGGAGAGGGAUGCGGAAUUCCAGGUGUAGCGGUGAAAUGCGUAGAUAUCUGGAGGAACACCGGUGGCGAAGGCGGCAUCCUGGACCGAUACUGACGCUGAGGAGCGAAAGCCAGGGGAGCAAACGGG
This 252-nucleotide ribosomal RNA is filed under the name uncultured bacterium. RNAcentral describes it as "partial 16S ribosomal RNA". It matches the Rfam family "Bacterial small subunit ribosomal RNA", at positions 524 to 776 of the family's 1533-position model. The record is from RNAcentral.